This 556-nucleotide ribosomal RNA is filed under the name Tozeuma carolinense (arrow shrimp). RNAcentral's name for it is "partial 12S ribosomal RNA". The record is from RNAcentral. Lineage: Eukaryota; Metazoa; Arthropoda; Malacostraca; Decapoda; Hippolytidae.
UUACUGGGCAAAGGUAAGAUUAAUUGUAAAUAAAAGUUAAAAGGAAGUUUUAAUAUUAAUAUAUUUAAAAUUUAAAGGUGAAAUAUGGUGAUUUUAAAAUUAGAUUAAUAGUAGAUGUGACUUGGAGGCUUUAAAGGUUAGGGGUUAAAGCAGGAUUAGAUACCCUGGUAUUCCUUACUUAAAUUUAUUUUUUAGGUAGUAAUCAGUUAUGAUCUCGAAACCUAAAAGAUUUGGCGGUACUUUAGUCUCGUUAGAGGAACCUGUUCUAUAAACGAUAAACCACGAAUAAUCUUACUUAAGCUUGUAUCUCAAUAUGUAUACCUCCAUUAUUAGACAGAUCUAAGAGGAUCUGUUACAAUAGUUUCUCGCUAGUAUAUUAGGUCAAGGUGCAGUUAAUGCUUAAGCUUGAAAUGGGUUACAAUUAUACAAGGUAAUACGGAUAUUUUCUUUGAAAUGAUUUUGAAGGAGGAUUUAAUUGUAAUUAAGAAUUUAAUAAGUCUUAUUGAUAAUGGCUCUAAAGUAUGUACACAUCGCCCGUCGCUCUCAUCAUUAACGU